RNAcentral lists this ribosomal RNA (376 nucleotides) under uncultured bacterium. RNAcentral describes it as "bacterial SSU rRNA". It matches the Rfam family "Bacterial small subunit ribosomal RNA", at positions 521 to 896 of the family's 1533-position model. The record is from RNAcentral.
UAAGACGAACCGUGCGAACGUUGUUCGGAAUCACUGGGCUUAAAGGGCGCGUAGGCGGGCAGCCAAGUCGGGGGUGAAAUACUUCAGCUUAACUGGAGAAUUGCCCCCGAUACUGGCCGUCUCGAGGGAGGUAGGGGCACGCGGAACUUCCGGUGGAGCGGUGAAAUGCGUUGAGAUCGGAAGGAACGCCGGCGGCGAAAGCGGCGUGCUGGACCUCUUCUGACGCUGAUGCGCGAAAGCCAGGGGAGCGAACGGGAUUAGAUACCCCGGUAGUCCUGGCCCUAAACGAUGGGUACUAGGCAGGGGACCAGGCAUGGGUUCCCUGCCGGAGCAAAAGUGCUAAGUACCCCGCCUGGGGAGUAUGGUCGCAAGGCUG